AGUGUGUUCUGUCUGUCCCAGCUGGUUAGUUAGUUAGUGUGUUCCGUCUGUCCCAGCUGGUUAGUUUGUUAGUGUGUUCUGUCUGUCCCAGCUGGUUAGUUAACCUGGGGAAACAGACAGAACACACUAACUAACUAACUAACCAACCUGGGGAGACAGUUACUGUGUUUUGUCUGUCUCCCCAGGUUAGUUAGUGUGUUCUGUCUGUCUCUACAGGUUGGUUAGUUAGUGUGUUCUGUCUGUCUCCCCAGGUUAGUUAGUGUGUUCUGUCUGUCUCUACAGGUUGGUUAGUUAGUUAGUGUGUUCUGUCUGUCUCUACAGGUUGGUUAGUUAGUUAGUGUGUUCUGUCUGUCUCUACAGGUUGGUUAGUUAGUUAGUGUGUUCUGUCUGUCUCUACAGGUUAGUUAGUUAGUGUGUUCUGUCUGUCUCCCCAAGUUAGUUAGUUAGUGUGUUCUGUCUGUCUCCCCAGGUUAGUUAGUUAGUGUGUUCUGUCUGUCUCCCCAAGUUAGUUAGUUAGUGUGUUCUGUCUGUCUCCCCAAGUUAGUUAGUUAGUGUGUUCUGUCUGUCUCCCCAAGUUAGUUAGUUAGUGUGUUCUGUCUGUCUCCCCAAGUUAGUUAGUUAGUGUGUUCUGUCUGACUCCCCAAGUUAGUUAGUUAGUGUGUUCUGUCUGUCUCCCCAGGUUAGUUAGUUAGUGUGUUCUGUCUGUCUCCCCAGGUUAGUUAGUUAGUGUGUUCUGUCUGUCUCCCCAGGUUAGUUAGUUAGUUAGUGUGUUCUGUCUGUCUCCCCAGGUUAGUUAGUUAGUGUGUUCUGUCUGUCUCCCCAGGUUAGUUAGUUAGUGUGUUCUGACUCCCCAGGUUAGUUAGUUAGUGUGUUCUGUCUCCCCAGGUUAGUUAGUUAGUUAGUGUGUUCUGUCUCCCCAGGUUAGUUAGUUAGUGUGUUCUGUCUCCUCAGGAAACUCCUGGAGAAGGAGUUGGAGUCUCCCCAGGUUAGUUAGUUAGUGUGUUCUGUCUCCCCAGGUUAGUUAGUUAGUGUGUUCUGUCUCCCCAGGUUAGUUAGUUAGUUAGUGUGUUCUGUCUCCUCAGGUUAGUUAGUUAGUUAGUGUGUUCUGUCUCCCCAGGUUAGUUAGUUAGUGUGUUCUGUCUCCCCAGGUUAGUUAGUUAGUUAGUGUGUUCUGUCUCCUCAGGUUAGUUAGUUAGUGUGUUCUGUCUCCCCAGGUUAGUUAGUUAGUGUGUUCUGUCUCCUCAGGUUAGUUAGUUAGUUAGUGUGUUCUGUCUCCCCAGGUUAGUUAGUUAGUUAGUGUGUUCUGUCUCCCCAGGUUAGUUAGUUAGUUAGUGUGUUCUGUCUCCCCAGGUUAGUUAGUUAGUUAGUGUGUUCUGUCUCCCCAGGUUAGUUAGUUAGUUAGUGUGUUCUGUCUCCCCAGGUUAGUUAGUUAGUUAGUGUGUUCUGUCUCCCCAGGUUAGUUAGUUAGUUAGUGUGUUCUGUCUCCCCAGGUUAGUUAGUUAGUUAGUGUGUUCU
Oncorhynchus keta (chum salmon) is the source of this 1515-nucleotide long non-coding RNA. RefSeq lists it as uncharacterized. NCBI's taxonomy places the organism in Eukaryota, Metazoa, Chordata, Actinopteri, Salmoniformes, Salmonidae. The transcript is spliced from 7 exons. The record is from RefSeq and is a predicted model, not a curated record.